RNAcentral lists this transfer-messenger RNA (369 nucleotides) under Nitratireductor sp. It matches the Rfam family "Alphaproteobacteria transfer-messenger RNA". Rfam says of the family: Bacterial tmRNA, also known as 10Sa RNA or SsrA, is named for its dual tRNA and mRNA-like properties. Its role is to liberate the mRNA from a stalled ribosome. To accomplish this part of the tmRNA is used as a reading frame that ends in a translation stop signal. Lineage: Bacteria; Pseudomonadati; Pseudomonadota; Alphaproteobacteria; Hyphomicrobiales; Phyllobacteriaceae. The record is from RNAcentral.
GCGCUGGAAAUUGUCGCUCAGAACCAUUACAUUGGCCGUGCCGGUUUUCCGGCUAUGACGAUAAAUGACCUGUGUAAUAAGCCUAUCGGACCCGGGGGCGGUACCCGGCGCCUCCACCAGAAACCAUCCUUCGACAUCGGUCCGGAUGGCUUCUGACGGGGGCGAAACAGGAUCGACGAGGGUGUAAAGACUGCGUUUUCGUUCGGCAUGGUAGCCACCGUUAUCGGGCCAAUCUCAAUAGUUGCAAACGACAACUAUGCAGAGGCACGUCUCGCUGCCUAAUGGCGGUGCGACAGUCUCACCUAAACUCCUAGCGGGUAUGCUCUGCUAGGCGGGGUUCGGAGGCACCUUGCAACAGAAGCCUCCACU